UACGACUACAUAUCAGGCAUAUCAAUAAGCGGAGGAAAAGGAACUAACAAGGAUUCCCCUAGUAACGGCGAGUGAAGCGGGAAGAGCUCAAAUUUGAAAUCUUAAAGGGUUUCCCUUUACGAAUUGUAGUUUAAAGAAGUGUUUUCUGUUGGAGUUUCGGUAAAAGUUCUUUGGAAUAGGACAUCAUAGAGGGUGAGAAUCCCGUAUUUGACCGUUACUUUCCAGCUGUGUGAUACACCUUCAAAGAGUCGGAUUGUUUGGGAAUGCAGUCCAAAAUGGGUGGUAAACUUCAUCUAAAGCUAAAUAUUGGCGAGAGACCGAUAGCGAACAAGUACCGUGAGGGAAAGAUGAAAAGAACUUUGAAAAGAGAGUUAAACAGUACGUGAAAUUGUCAAAAGGGAAGCGUUUGACACCAGUGUUGUUUAGUUGAAAAUCAAUUCAAUAGUUUUUGAUUCUAAGUAGUAUUGACUUCAUCAGCUUGCUGCUUUCUUCUCAGAAAUUAUUGAAUGCACUUUUCAGUUAACAAGUCAACAUCAAUUUCUUUUGUUGUAAAAGGGUAAGAGGAAGGUGGCUUGCGCUUCGGCUCAAGUGUUUAUAGCCUUUUAUCUCUGCAAUCGGAGAGAUUGAGGUCUGCAGCGUAGAUCCUUCGGGGUUAGAUACAUUGGUGCUAAGCUAUAGCCUUGUAUAGACAACUUGUUGACUAUGCUCAGUCAUGUAGCUUACUCGCUGAUGCUAUUUUACCUACGCUUAGGAUGUUGAUCUACAGAGCGAGAGU
RNAcentral lists this ribosomal RNA (775 nucleotides) under uncultured Neocallimastigales. RNAcentral describes it as "partial large subunit ribosomal RNA". It matches the Rfam family "Eukaryotic large subunit ribosomal RNA", at positions 24 to 632 of the family's 3401-position model. The record is from RNAcentral. Lineage: Eukaryota; Fungi; Neocallimastigomycota; Neocallimastigomycetes; Neocallimastigales.